RNAcentral lists this unclassified non-coding RNA (680 nucleotides) under Rhagoletis pomonella (apple maggot). RNAcentral's name for it is "d-aminoacyl-tRNA deacylase-like, transcript variant X2". Lineage: Eukaryota; Metazoa; Arthropoda; Insecta; Diptera; Tephritidae. The record is from RNAcentral.
ACUACCAAACAACCAAAUUAGAAAAAUUAAAGAAAAAGAACCAAGUUUGGUUGGAAACAACGAACAGUGGCAUCAGUGGCAACAGCUGAUUACACAGUUUGUGAAAACGUAAACAUAAUCCACCUGCGGGCCAUUUUUAGGCACCGAGACUUUUGAGAAUUAUAGAAAAUACAGGAAUUUUUAGAGCAAAUUUGUUUAAAUGAAGGCCAUUGUGCAGAGAGUAACUGCCGCAAAGGUAACCGUUGGCGACGAGCUGAUUAGCUCGAUUGGACGUGGCCUAUGCGUGCUUGUGGGUAUAACGCACUCGGACACGGAGAAGGAUGUGGAAUAUCUGUAGCGUCCGCAAGCUCGUCGCCUUACGUCUUUUUGAAGAUACAGCAGGUAAACGUUGGCAGAAAAGCAUCAAAGAUGAGCAACUGGAAAUAUUGUGCGUCUCGCAAUUCACACUCUAUCACCGUCUUAAAGGGAAUAAACCUGAUUUUCAUUUGGCCAUGCAAGGCGACACUGCGCAAAACUUAUAUAACUCGUUUCUAAAACGGUUGGAAAAAGACUAUGAUGCGACGAAAAUAAAAGAUGGCAAAUUUGGCGCAUACAUGCAAGUACACAUUCAAAAUGAUGGGCCUGUCACCAUUGAACUGGAGUCACCAAUUGACGCAAAAGCUAAUAAGGUUUUCAAACCA